GUUUAUUGAGUUGUGUAGUCCAGCCAAAAUCAGUUUGUAUAAUUUAUUAUAAUUUUCCAUAUCUUAGUAGCACAAGGUUUUGGCACAUGAAAGUACAUUGUAUCCAUCAUUUCCAUAGCAUUCCCCAUUCGCAACAGCACCAUAUGGAACGGUUGCAAUGACUUUUUUCAAAGUUGUAACCACGCCAUUCACAGCUAAGCUUGCACAUAGCAACAUUGUUGGGCGUUUAUAUCUGGCAUGCUCGGAAAGGAGUACACGAAGUCCACAAUCCAGUUGUACCUACAAACAACAAGGUAUAUAUAGCAUCCCCGUUCAUAUUAGCAUAUGUAGUAUAAGUUGCAUGAGUUUAGAUUAUAUGAAUAUCCAAGGUACAUCAUACAUAAUUGGACUAUUGUAAACAUAAACAAAGAGUGUACCUUUGUUUAUCGUAGUUGCUUGACAUGACCAUAAAGUGCUAGACAUCAUCAGAAGAACUACGAAACAUAUAGCCUAUGUGUUGUUCUUGAUAGGUGCCAUGAGGAGUGGUUUCUUAUUCCUUUUUCCUCCUAUACCUGUAUUCUUUAUGGGCGAUAUCUCUCAACCUAUAUUUCUUAUUGUGUUAUUUAUUAGAGGCAUAAAUCUCGAAGGACCCAUUCUUGCUCUUAUAUUAUUUCUCACAUUUAUGUUUUGAUCAUCAUGUGUUUAUAUAUAGUCACUUGAUGUCCGCAAGGUCACUAUAGCAUUUAGAUAUGAUAUACCAAAAUAUAUCUUGUGGAGAACAUGUUACUAAAUGCAACCUAGAUUUUGAUAUUUGAAAUUAAUCACUACUCUGAAAUACCAUACAUAUAGCACAUUAAGUUGUGCCCCCGCAAAAAAAGCAUAUUAAAUAUGUAUCUUCAGUAGUAGUUGUUCUAUCAUGUAGCAUAGUAGACCCAUGUAAGAAAAACAUAUCGGAUAAUAAUCACAACAUUAUUUCUUUAGGAUUCCACAACAUUAAACCAUUAUAUUAUGUCUUUAGCACUCAAUGUAACAAGCAGAAAAGGCCACCCGAAAUAGUUAGAAAUAAGCCUGUAGAUAACCUCUACUACCGGGUUUUGCAUGCACGCAGUUUGCAAAAGGGACACGAAAGAAAGUUGCCCCCUUUUUCUUUGAGCAAAAAAAACCCUUGUCUUGUGGGCAGAGAUAGGCCCAGAUACACAAGGCCGCAACACGGGGCUUGAUUAUAUUUACGACAGAUAUGUUCACUAGCCCACCAACUUGCCUUUCCUUCGCUUCGAGGUUUUCUUAGUGGAAUUCCCUAUUUGCCGCUCAUUACGUCGAACUGUCGAUGCAAAGCACAGAGCUGGGGAUUGAAGCGCUCACGUGGGCCGGCCCGUUAAUCAAUUGGGUCACUUUCUGGUUUUGGGUACCUUCUAGAGUUUCCUAGCCGAGUUUUUCUGGUUUUGGGAAACUUCUAGAAGGUUCCUUGAACCGUAUUUCUUUUUGUCGAUAUUUCUGUUUCUUUUUUUUUCUUUUUUAUUUCUUUUCAUUUCCUUUUCUAUUUCUUUUUUUUCAUUUCCUUUAUAUUUCAAGUCCAUUUUUUAAAAACAAAUCAGGUUUCAAAUUUUGUUCAGAAACUGAAAAAAAAUACGUACUUUUACAGUAUUUUCAAUUUUGUAAAAAAUUUCGUGCUUUCAAAAAUUGUUCAUAAAUUCAAAUAAUGUUCGCAUUUUCAAAAAAUUGUACGGGCAUUUCAAAAAGUGUUCCCAUUUUCCAUAAAUUGUUCAGAAUAUUUUUUUUAUUUUUUGUAACUUUUCAAAUAAUGACUGGGAUUUAAAAAAUGGUUAUGUUUUAAAAAAUUGUUCUUGUUUCCAAAUUUUGCUGACAUAUUCAAAAAUGUUCAUGUUCCAAAUUUGAUUGGAAUUUUUAAAAUUGUUCUCUGUUUCUAACUUUGGUCUAAAAAUGUUCUUGUUUCCAUUUCUGUUUCUUUCUUUGUUUCUUUUUUAAUUUUUAUGUUUUUUUCGAAAAAAUUUCAUUUUUCAAAAAUUGUUCGUAACCUUUAAAAAGUUGUUCCCACUUUUAAAAAACGUUCAUUUUUUUUAAAAUGUUCGUGUUUUCCAAAUUUGUUCAUAAAUUCAAAAAAUGUUCGCAUUUUAAACAAAAUGUUUUGGGAUUUAAAAAUGUUACCUUUUAAAAAAAGGUUUGUCUUUGCAAAUGGCAACCCCUCGCAAUGAAUGUUCGCCAGCUAUUGCAGUCUAAAAGAUGAUGUGUCCAGAUCUGUAGUCUGAAGAGGUGUGAGCGUUUUGUAAAAUAUUGACAAUUUUAAAAACUGUACACGAUUUUGUUUACAAGAUUUUCACAAAUUUGAUGUAUUUUAGUUUUAUUUGAAAUAAACAAAUAUUUUCCUUUUAGGGGAAAGUGGAAACCUGUAAAAGCAUAUAAAAUCACUAGAAACACAUAGCGUCAUUUAGGAGCUCCCUUUGCUGAUCUGUUGCAAUAUAGAUCUUGAGUCAUCUUAUAACUCACUCACUGCAAUGUUAUUGAUGGCAAAACGCACAUGGAAAAAGGAUUUCCUUCUUGAGCCACGUGGCUCAGAUCGCUCCCAAUUUUCUUUCUCUUUUUUUAUCCAGAUUUCCGUCAGUUUAAACCAAAAAAUAGCUCUCUUGCUUAUGUAGUUAAAUUUAAAAAAUAUCAAACAGUGAUAUAAAAGUACAUGAUUUUACAUGAAUAAUUAAACUGUUUGUGAAUUUUCAAAAAUGAUCUUGAAUUAACAAAAUGUUCAUAGGUGUAAACAGAUGUUCUUCUUUUAUGAAAAUGCUGAGGAAUUUAUAAAAUUGUGGAAUUUAUAAAAAUACGAAAUUCAAUAAUGUUCUAUAAUCUUCAAAACAUGUUGGUGUUUUUAAAAAACACGUAUUUCAAAAAUAAUUGUAGUUUGAAAAGGAUUAUGUAUUUCAUAAUAUAUUCUUGAAUUUCAAAAUUGUACAUAAUUUUAAUAAAUGUUCAUGAAGUUGAAAUUCAUAAAUAAAAAUAAAAGGUAUAGAGAAAAAUCAGAUGGAAAUCCUAGAAAACCACAAGAACAUGGGGCGUGAUGUGCACUCUACCUAUGCAUUAAUCGAACACUUUUUUGCAAUGAGCGACAACUACAUUUUACAAUGGCUUGCUACACGCAUGAGCUGUUGCUCCCAUGUCCUACUAGAUCGGGAUCGCGCCUUGACGCGAGGGUGCCGGUCCCAAUGUUUUGCCGAAGCACUAUUUUAGUAUAAACCCAGGUAUAGUAUUUGCACUUAUAUAGAAUAAUAAAGCAAAUUUAGAUAGAAGUAAAACAAAAUGAAUCUCAAUACCGACAUGAGAUUAUAAGGCAGGAUCAAACUAAGUGUGUUCAUAAGACCAUAAAAGAUGGCCACUCAACAUAAAAUUCGAUACCAAAAGCGAGAAUACAUAAAAGGUAAUAAGAACAACAAGAUAAUAAAGGAGAGCCAAUUGUGGAGCCAUAACCACUAAGCAUACGGGAGGAGCUCCAUUGUGUUAGCCACCUCAGUCUUGCGAUGCUUGGCAUCCUGUAGCCACCUCUUUCUUCAGAUUUUGGAGCCUCUUAGAAUAUAUAAAUGGUAUAGGUGCCCUGUCAAGGAAAAAAAAUAGAUAAAUACAGAUUGUGUGUCUUAUUUUUAUUGUGGUGUCAAUCGAGGAAAAAGGAUGAUGCACGACUACAGAACACCAAACUACAAUCCGAUGAUCAACCAACUAUACAAAUCAUAGAGGGAUCUCCUGGGCACUAAGCCCUUAUAAAAGGGUUUCAAGGUAUCCACUUUAUCACCAGCCUACAAAUAAAAUAUAUAAGGUGGGGGCAAGGGAAGGACUAAAAUAAAAAGAAGUACUCGCUUGGUAAUGCAUACUGGAAAGACAUGUUGCUGGUAAGGAUCUCCUCUACUCAGGAAAAAUAAAAAGAUAGGAGGCGCGUGGUGCCUGCCUCAACAUAUUGUCCAUGUGCUUAAACAAAGCAUUUAGUGUUGUCAAAUGGGAAUUAGAACGAUUGCUUGGGAUGAAUCAGCCCUUGCCAAAUGGAAACUAAAAUAAUUGUGCAGGAUAGAUCAACCCAAUACAGUAAGUUUAGAUCAAUAGCAAUACAGAAGGGUGAGACAGCCUGUUAUACCAAAAGCAAGGCAAGCCAGAAGUUCAUGACAAAGGGGAGACAUAUAUUUGGUGGCAAAAGUAAGCCAAAAUGAUGGGUUCUUGUUAAGUAGAUAAAAUAGUUGGGUUAUUAGAUAGCGAAAGCAAGCCAGAGUAGCGAAUAAGAUUCCUAUAUAGUUUUAACAAUCCUAUGUAGUUCUGCUAUAAUUAAAGAACCAAUGAUGCAUCAAUAUAACUAAUAUACAGUAGUUAACAUGAAGAAUGCCGAGCAGUGCCCUUUUACAAAAGGAGAGGACAAUCAGAUGUUCGCAUAACACAUCACAGCAGCUAGUGGUAUGACACAUCAUUUGGAAGUUAUUGGGGCCAAAGCCAACCAUAUAGCUAAGAGAAAAAGCGCCUGCACAUGAAGCAUUGUCACUAACCCUGAAUGAAGGGUUCUACUUUCAAGUGUUUGUGAAGAACAUGGUGUAUAAGUCACAGCCCAGGAUCACCGCGACACUUUAAUCUCAACAUCAAUACACUUCCAAUACCACUAAGGGAAAAUAGAGUUAAAAUUCAUGUGAGAACAAAAUAGAAACAACUGUGGUCAAAAUGCAUAAUCCUUGCUCAAAUCAAAUUGAUAAUCACCAGAUGGUAUAUAUUUUGGCUCCCUCCUAGAUCAAAUUAAUUUACACUUAUGGAGGAUUGUUAUUAACAAAGUAACCGACAAAGAAGUGAUCGCCAGUUGCACUGUCUACUUAUGUCUUUAUGAAUGCAAAUGCAAGUGGAAGCUACCGAGGUUCGGUAAAUAGGGAUUGACCAGUAGCUUUUUUCCGAACUGGAAGGAACAAAGUCUCACUUCUACCCAAACCGAGUGGAGAGCACAUCCUAUCAUUCUUUUGAUCUCUAGAUUUCAUCCAAUUGAGAUUUUCAUUCCGUCAUUUCAAGGAAAUGGUGUACACCAAUUUAAGAAGUUUAGGAGUAUGUCAUAAAAGAAGUUUCAGGUGUGCAUAUCGUUACAAGCUUGAAAUACUGACAUAAAAGCUUGAAAUAUGAGAUUGUGCAUGUAGAAAUAAAUAAGAAAUUAUAUGUCAAACAAAUUUAUGUUUUCUGCCAUUCCAGAAAUUCUAAUUUCUUAAUGAGCCGACUUGCAUACGUCUCUCUCCGAAGGAAAGACCAUUUCUAAUUACAGAAAAGGGAUAUGUACAAUGGUAGACAUAUGUGUUGGUCGAUAAUACCUCAAAUGGCGCACCACUAAGAUUUUCCAUUACCAGCUUCUUAUGGAUCAGUGAUACAGAGCUCUCUGCUUGUGCCUGAAUUGGCAGCUUCCUCUAGACCAGCAAUAAAAUUAAUAGAUUAAGAGAGUACCUCAGCAAACUCAAGAUUAAUUUAUACUCCAUAAACUAAUAUAAGUUCAGGGAGGUAGUACCUAAACAGAUCCAUAAAAUCUUUUAUUCUUUCCAGAAAAUGUAGAAUUAUCCAACAUGUAAGGGGUGAACCACCAUCACGACACCAGCAUCUAGAAUAAGUUGAUUUGCAGAAGCAUUGCCACUAAGAAUAAUGCAUAACAAUGAUUUUUUCCCUACAUAUAAGGGGAGGCCUCAAACUUAAUCCUUUACUUCCAUAGCACAUCAUACAAUGUCCCCUUAAAAGAGUUCUUCGAAAUAGCAUGCAAGCUCCAUAUCGAAUGGGGAGCAACGGAGGAGGCCACCCGCGACCAUGGCGUCCGACCAAGGCAUCGUUGUUCCGUCCAGCUCGGCCAUGUGCGGGGCGUGACAUCAUUGUGUAGGUACCGGUGGUCGUCCUCAUCCAUGGAGGAUUCCUGCUGCUCUGAUUCAAAGAAACAAGUAAGGGGAUCAAUCAAUCCAUGGAGAGAAGGAAGACAAGGAGACACGCACGUACACGUACUGCUGCUAGUAUAUAAAGAAAUCAACCAAGCCGUAUGUGUGUGUGCUUGAGUACGUGUGUGGUUGGGCUCCUGGAGUACACGAGCUAGUGUUCUAAUUAAACUGAAAUAGAGCAUGCCAUAGGAGAGCAACCUAGAGCACAGAGCAUGCCACAAGAAAGCAACCUAGAGCAGAGCAACUAUAACUUGGAAAAAUCUCACAACCGAGAGAGAGGGAUGGACCUAGUUUGUCAAUCUACCAUGCAUCGUUACUCUAUAAUUUAUAGAGCUGGCAGCCUAACAUGCUACUGCCAUCAGCGGUAACCAAUGAAAUUAGAAAAGCACCGAAACUACUAAUUCUAACCAAAGAAGUUUGAGGAACAUAUUUCUCUUUGUUUUACAAUCUGAAAACGGCUAUUCUGGAGUGUGCAGUGGUCACUCAAAAUAAAGAAUACAUAUACCUGACCUGCGAAAAACAACUGGCACAACGCAAUGGUCCUUAAUCGGUUAUCCAUAAUAUAGACAAACAAAUAUGAAUCAGGAACCAAGCAGUUUAAUUGGUUGCAAAUUAAAGGACCCUUAGAAUCCGCUUUUAGAUGGCAAACAAUAAACUAUGGCAAUAAAAAAUCAGUAGCCAAAACCCAUAGGACGGAUAAUAGCAUCAGUCAUUCCUUCAACCAAAGCAUCAUAUAUCAUCGAUCUACAUUAUAAGGAGAACUAUGUAUGAGAAUGUGAACCAGAGUUAUACCCCUUGCAUCAUGUAAUUCUUUGGAGUUAGACUCUUUCAAAAUAUUAUCACACAGGGUGCCCAAAAAUAUAUAUUACCACAAUACAUCUAUUCAUCCAUUAAUAAUGAAAAUACUAAUACAUAACUUCCACCUAGAGUAGCAUGGAAUUGCACAAAUAAUACAUAGCAAGAGAUUCAUUAUUUCAAUGCAUGAUAAGUUACGAAAUAGAUCAUCUAAACAAACAAAAUAAUGUUUGUUUGUGCCACUUAUUAUUACUGUUAUCGUGGUACCCACAAUAAGGUGGAAAUGUUAGCUUAUUCAAGGGGGGCCUACAAACUUCGAUCCCAUGAUGGCUAAAAUGGUUUUGGAUCAAUGAAGCUUACAACUGGUAAAUCAGGUUAGCUAGUAAGUAUGGCAAACGAAAAUCAAAGUAGAAUGAUCCCAAAAUGUCUUUUGUUACACUAUUACAAAGCAAGUUAACCGAUCUUAGAUCUUGUGACCAUGAAUCCAAACCUCUACUGAUUACUCUUAAAUUCAUAUCAAAGUGAAGAGAGCUAAUUAUUAAGUGUGGCGCAUUCAGAGAAUUGAUGUGGCUAUUCAUAAAAUCAAAAUUAAGAUCCAUUCUCUCUAGAAGUAACUAAAAUGAAAGAGGAACAGAGAAUAAUAUCUUGUGCCAGAUUGGGAUUAAUGCACUGAUGAGAGACUCGAACAAUGAAACACAUGCAAAAAUGUUCUCUUGAUGCCCAUUUACUCCUAGGAGUACUACUGAACCUAACUGAAUUUAGGAGUAUUUACAAAACCUAGUAGUACUACUGAACCUAAUCGAACCCAAGUGCAUGUGUGGUGUACUAAAUGUAGGAGCUGCGUGUUUGUACUCCAUGGAUGCAAAUCAAAGGAGUUGGAGCCGUGUGUUUGUACUCCAUAGACGUAUUAUGAACUUUGUAGUCCAUGGGAAAUGAACAUAGCUGCAAAUUAAGAAAAACAAAGCAGUCGAGGAGAGAACGAGCUCACCUAUGAGGUUGCAGCCGAGGCAGUAGCACAGCUCGUCGCUGCAACUGAGCUCGACACGCUACCUCCAUGUGUCCGGCCUUUUCCGCGAGUUACCCCAUGCGUCCAGCCUCCUCCGAGCACUGUCUCCUCACAAACAAGUAGGGGUAGAAAAAACAUGAAUUGUAACUUAUCAACCGAGCGGCAGCAACAAUCAGCGACAGAUCACCGAUCAACAACAGGACACUAACCGAAAAACGCAGCCAAUAGCAAAAUCAGGAGCAGGAUAAAACUAAUAAUAUAAUGAAAAGAAUGCCCACAAGAGAAGCAUGCACAAUCCUAUGAAAUCAGAAUCAAUUAGUUCACCUACUGACACCCAUCUACCAGGAUCAAACAAGGCGUCCAGGAUCAAACAAACAAAGCAAGGAAAGAUACAGCCCCUUCCUUGCAAUCUAGCUAGACUGCUAAUGUAACAACAAAGUUUCUAGAAGAAUCUAACAGCAAUCAUAUAUAAAAAAGCGCAAGUAAAUAUGGUCAUGCAUAUUUUGAAGCCACCAAAGCUAUCCUUAUGUCGAAAAUUGAAAUAAACGAUGGUACAAAGAGGAGAAAUAAUGAAAAUAACAUGAAGGAGUUAGAACCCAGAAAUCAUAUGUAACUAAACUAUGAGAAACCAUGGAUAUUACCUCAAGAAUCUAUAUAGACCUAAGCUUCUCUUUAACAGGCAGAAAACCAAGCAAUGAAACAGAUAGCCUAGCUAAAUCCAAGGAUCUACUUGACGGCAAGGCACCAACAAAACAAGAAAGCCCCCCAAAAGUCCUCCUCUGGAACCUAGCUACCUAAGAAUCUACUGCACAAGAAGAAACCCAAGGCAUUUUUGCUAGCCAGUCCUAACCUAGCCAGUCCUACAAAAUGGUACAUGAACAUAAGAGGGGAAGGAGCUCAACCAGCAGGAGCAUGACCAGUGCGGCCACACGCGGCAGAGGUGAAGCAUAGAUCGCUCGGAAUCGCGUGUGUAAGGAAGAACCCAACAACACGGCACAUGCGAGUAGCACCAGCAAACAAAUCAGUAGGUUACUUCUAGGACAUAGCACCUCGAUCACUCUUUACAUGAACAAUCCAGCAUUAUCUCCUAAAAAACUAUCAACAAAAAUCUUGUAGCAUUAUUAUUUGUAGCAUGUAAGAACAAAUAGCUGCAAAUGGUAACUUGCGAAAAAAUAGAAGUAGUAGUGUCACAACAAAUUAAAACAAGCCAUUCAACCAUUGCGGGGAGCGGGUCAAAGUGCGACUUACUCUUAUAACCAGAUUAAAUCAAGGACCAACAACAAUAUAGAUACAACAAAGUGCGACUGUACGUAUUCUACAAAACACACCACUGCACCAUGUAGAUACAACACAUAUCAAUUAGAAGGGGCAACUUGUGCCCUGUUUAUGAGAGAAAGAAAUCAAAUAAUAUUUGUAACAGUAGAUUGAGAUAUGAUGAGAAUACCUAAUCAGUAAAGCAUCACUACCCAACCAUAAGCAUAAAGGAAGUAAUAUGAGCUGAAAUCUCUGAUGGCAUAAAAAAAUUAGAGCAUGUCUGACAUAUCACUUUGAAGUUACAAAUGGUAAAUAAACUACAACCAAGAAACAUAACAUUAAGUAGCUAGAGAGUAUACACUACUUUCUAAUAGGAAAGAAUGUAAUUUAAUCGGUAAGGUACUGUCACUGUCUCCAACAUGAAAAAACGAAGAAACCUUUUGUAAUCAGUAUCUACCAUGCUCAUGUUUCUUCUGUAUUCAGUACAGUAGCUGCAACCAUGCGCAUAUCACCGAGCAGAAAAAAGAGAGAAGGUUACGGCUUACUUAACAUUUGCCAAUUGAUGCUGCCUGCACCCAUACUUUAUGAAUCUGCUGCUUCUAAUUCUGUUACAACCUGCCACUCCUCAUUAUAUGUUGCCCCAUCAUUUUCCUGCAACGCAUCUAUAUAACAAAAAGCACCACAUCAAGUGAGGUACGAAAAUAGCAGAUAGCAAAGCAACAUGAGAAUAGUAGUCAAGUAUAUUGGCAUACCUUUAAUUCUCAAAUAGUUGAUUGGUUCAUGACGAUGGUUCGAGGAGAAAGCUGCAAUUGAAAAAAUAAAGAUAUUCUUACAAAGAAGGCCCAAAGGUUUAAGCAGGAUAUGGUAAUAAAUAUACAUAAUAUGUAAACUUCAAAACUAUUGCAGAGAGAUAAAUGCGGUUUUGGAAGAAACAUGUUCCUAGAUAGGCAGAGUCUAAUUGUAGUAGCAUAUCAUUGUGAGACGAAUGCACUUUUUUAACUUCUCCCUAGCCUACCCAUGUGGUUCCAGAGGGUAACACAUUCAUUAAAUGCAAACUCGAUAGCAGAAUUUUCCCUCAUGACACAGAGCUUUUCCCAAGUGCACCAUAUAUCCUGAUUUGGAAUGUUCUAAAUCCAAGAAUAUAAUGUAUGAUAGUUUAUCAUCAAUACUGAUGAUAUAGAGACAAAGAUGAGAGCUAGGAACCAUGCCAAUUAGCUUGGAUGGGCUCCCCACUGUUUGAUCUGCUUCAACAUUGCAAAGUGAGGUUCUUCAGUACUUCUCAAGCUUCUAGAUUCCCUGCAGCUGCAACAGGCUCAACCUUAAUUGUCUUCCAUUCAGUACUACCUAAGUGUGUAGGCGAGUGAGGCUUGCAGGCGAUGUAUGAAACAAGUGCAAGACGCUAUAAAAACAGUACUAUGUCUGUAUCUGUGGUAGUAGAUAAAAGUAACAUUAGUAUCAGUACUAAUUCUAAGUAUAUCAGAACAUGCAAAGAACAUAUGUAGUAGUAAUAGCCAGGUAGGCACAGUUGCCAGAUUCGGUGGGUUUGAUUUGGGGAAACAAUGCAUUGGCAAGGCAACAGGCGAGGGAGGGAUGGAUGGAUGGACUUACGAUUCUGUCGAGCUCCCGGGUCUUGCGCAUCAGCUCCUCCUUGAGCCGGGUAUUCUCCUCAAGCUGCGGUGGCGUGGGAGGGGGAGAAUGGAUGAGUGAGUGAGUGAUAUUGGCAGGGGUGAGAAACAGAGAUGGGCGAGGGGAGGGGGGAGGUGUCCUGGUGACGGAUGGUGGCCUCGGCGUCCUCGACGGCGCGCAUGACCUGGAAGAGGUUGUCGGUGCCAGCGGCGUCGUCGGAGUCCUGGCACGCGGUGGCCAGCUCACCGGCGUCGGCCAUGGUGCAGUGAUGGUGAUGCGGGUGGGGUACGGGGAGGAGAUGGGAGCACGGCGAGGGAGGCGAAACCCUAGGGAGGGGAGGGGAGGGGAGGCNNNNNNNNNNNNNNNNNNNNNNNNNNNNNNNNNNNNNNNNNNNNNNNNNNNNNNNNNNNNNNNNNNNNNNNNNNNNNNNNNNNNNNNNNNNNNNNNNNNNNNNNNNNNNNNNNNNNNNNNNNNNNNNNNNNNNNNNNNNNNNNNNNNNNNNNNNNNNNNNNNNNNNNNNNNNNNNNNNNNNNNNNNNNNNNNNNNNNNNNNNNNNNNNNNNNNNNNNNNNNNNNNNNNNNNNNNNNNNNNNNNNNNNNNNNNNNNNNNNNNNNNNNNNNNNNNNNNNNNNNNNNNNNNNNNNNNNNNNNNNNNNNNNNNNNNNNNNNNNNNNNNNNNNNNNNNNNNNNNNNNNNNNNNNNNNNNNNNNNNNNNNAGGAGGGGGCUUUGUUGCGGUGGAUCUGGCCGCUGACGGCCUGGGCAGGCGGGUGCCGCCGGCGGUGAUGUGGCUACGGGAGACGGGAGGGGGGGAGGGGGAGAGGAGGCGCGCGGGAGGGAGGGAGGGAGGCGGCUGCGGGAGGAAGGGAGAGAGGAGGAGGCGGCUAGGUCUCCGCCACAGCAGCGCCCCCCUUUUAUACCCCUGUACGCAGAAUGACGAAAAUGCCCUCGGGGGGCACCGGAAUUACGAGCGGUGGCACGAACGGGGUGAAACUAUUCAUUGCUACACGGCUCCUCUUUGAUCCGACAGCGCAGGUCAUCCAGCGGCUCGAUCCGACGGCCAAGAUCAGAUUAAGCAACCAGAUCCAAUGGCCAGGAAUGCCAAGCGGCUGAGGAGGCUGGAGGAUGACUGGAAUCCUUAUUUCUCAAUUCGUUUGCCCCAUGCGAGUGCAUCCCCCAAAGGCCGCAACCUCUUCUACACCACCGCUUAUGGUUGAAGUUGUUGCCGUCCUCCCCCUGCUUCUUGGACGGUUCGCCUCCGCUUGAGCAUGACUGCGGCGUCCCGCCCAAUUGGCCUUGACAAUGCUCCUCGGCCUCAGCUAAAGCCACUGGCCCGUUCCACUGAUGUUUAGAAUUGCUGCUCAUGCAUCUGCUUGCCACUUUGCUGACAAUGCUACUCGUCGACCCGUGCAACUCUAGCAUGUUGGCUACUUGUCACGUGCCUCUUGGACCAGAUAGUUUCUAAAUCGAUGCAUUGAAGUUAAACUACAUAGUUGACCUUUUAAGUUUGGGAGCACUUGUUCAGGUAGCUAAAAACUGGUUUUGUUUCAGUUGAUUUGCUCUUCCUCUUUCAACUAUCUUAUUUAAAUCCAAAGCCUCAUGUUUUUCAUCCUCCUGCCAUCGAAGCGACAAUGUUCUUUUUGAUGGAAAUAUGCCCUAGAGGCAAUAAUAAAAUGGUUAUUAUUAUAUUUCCUUAAUCAUGAUAAAGGUUUAUUAUUCAUGCUAGAAUUGUAUUAAUCGGAAACUUAAAUACAUGUGUGGAUACAUAAAUAAAUACCAUGUCUCUAGUGAGCCUCUACUAGACUAGCUUGUUGAUCAAAAGAUGGUUAAGGUUGCCUAACCAUAGACAUGUGUUGUCACUUGAUAACGGGAUCACAUCAUUAGGAGAAUGAUGUGAUGGACAAGACCCAUCUGUUAGCUUAGCAUCUGAUCGUUCAGUUUAUUGCUACUGCUUUCUUAAUGCCAAAUACAUGUUUCUUCAACCAUGAGAUCAUGCAACUCCCGUAUAUCGGAGGAAUACCUUGUGUGCUAUCAAAGGUCACAACGUAACUGGGUGAUCAUAAAGAUUCUCUACAGGUAUCUCCGAAGGUUUCUGUGGAGUUGGCGUGAAUCGAGAUUGGAAUUUGUUACUCCGUAUGACGGAGAGGUAUCUCUGGGCCCUCUCGGUAAUACACAUCACAAGAAGCUUGCAAGAAAAAUGACUAAGGAGUUAGUUACGAGAUGAUGUAUUACGAAACGAGUAAAGAGACUUGCCGGUAAUGAGAUUGAACUAGUUAUGGAGAUAUCAACGAUCGAAUCUCGGGCAAGUAACAUACCGACAGACAAAGGGAAUUACGUAUGUUGUCAUAACGGUUCGAUCGAUAAAUAUCUUUGUAGAAUAUGUUGGAACCAAUAUGGGCAUCCAAGUUCCCCUAUUGGUUAUUGACCGGAGAGGUGUCUCGGUCAUGCCUACAUAGUUCUCGAAGCCAUAGGGUCCACACUUUUAACGUUCGUUGAUGAUAUAGUGUUAUAUGAGUUAUAUUAUUUGGUGACGGAAUGUUGUUCGGAGUCCCGGAUUAGGUCACGGACAUGACGAGGAGCUCCGGAAUGGCCCGGAGGUAAGGAUCGAUAUAUAGGUCGAUGAUAUUUGGACACCGAAAGAGUUUUGGGAGGUACCGGGUAGUCAUCGGAUCAUCGGAAGUGGUUCCGGGAAGCCCCGGGAGGCUAUAUGGCUUAAUGGGCCAAAGGAGGAACACACCAGCCCACAAGGGGCUGGUGCGCCCCUCUCCCUGGCCGCCGGCCCUAGGGGAAGGAAAGGGGGAGGGUUGGCCCCUCCUUCCUUUCNNNNNNNNNNNNNNNNNNNNNNNNNNNNNNNNNNNNNNNNNNNNNNNNNNNNNNNNNNNNNNNNNNNNNNNNNNNNNNNNNNNNNNNNNNNNNNNNNNNNNNNNNNNNNNNNNNNNNNNNNNNNNNNNNNNNNNNNNNNNNNNNNNNNNNNNNNNNNNNNNNNNNNNNNNNNNNNNNNNNNNNNNNNNNNNNNNNNNNNNNNNNNNNNNNNNNNNNNNNNNNNNNNNNNNNNNNNNNNNNNNNNNNNNNNNNNNNNNNNNNNNNNNNNNNNNNNNNNNNNGGGGGGGCACCUCCCCCUGCCUUCCUGCCGCGCACAUACAAGGAAAGGGGGCGGCCAAGGGCAGGAGCCCAAGAGGGAUUCGGCCAUCCUUGGGGCACCUCCUGGCUGCCUCCCCUCUCCCGCACCUAUAUAUAUGUGGGAGGGGGCGCCAUACAAGGACCACGUCGAUCUCUUAGCCGUGUGUGGCACCCCUCUCCAUAGUUUCAUCCAUCGGUCAUAUUUUCAUAGUGCUUAGGUGAAGCCUUGCGUAGAUAGCAUCACCACCACCAUCACCACUUCGCCCGUCUUGCUGGAUCAAGAUGGCGAGGACGUCACCGAGAUGAACAUGUGCUGAAAGCGAAGGUGUCGUACGUUCGGUACUUGAUCGGUUGGAUCGUGAAGAAGUUCGACUAUAUCAACUGCGUUAAUAAACGCUUCCGCUUACGGUCUACGAGGGUACAUAGACACACUCUCCCCUCUUGUUGCUAUGCAUCUCCAUGGAUACAUCUAGCGUGUGCAUAUAAUUUUUUUUGUUUUCCAUGCAACGUUCCCCAACACUUCUUCCUCACUGAACCUAUGAUUUCUCUCCCUCCUAUUGAUAAUCCCCAAGUGCAUGGAAUCAUAGUAGCAAUUCCCAAAGGUGGAAGUGAUAAGUAUGGAGUGUCGAACCCACAAGGAGCUAAAGGUAAGAUCAAUAUUCUCUCAAGCCCUAUCUGCCACUGAUACGACUCUACGUGCACCGAACCUUUGCUUCCAACUAGCAACGAGAAAUAAAACUAUGUUGUGGGUAUGUAGAGGAUAACUUUGUAUGAUAUCGGAGAGCUAAAACAUAAAAGUAGGUGUUGUUAUCAUAAAGUUAGAAUAUAAUACUAAAUAUUAUAAAUAGCGAGUGUGGAAUAAUGGUGGAUCGGUGUGCGGAAUUGUCCUAGGCAAUAGUUAACAAGACCGAUAAUCACUAUUGCAGUUUCAUAUGAGGGAGAGGCAUAAGCUAACAUACUUUCUCUUCUUGGAUCAUAUGCACUUAUGAUUGGAACUCUAGCAAGCGUCCUCAACUACUGAAGAUCAUUAAGGUAACACCCAACCAUAGCAUUAAAGCAUCAAGUCCUCUUUAUUCCCAUACACAACAACCUACUUACUCGGAUUUGUGUUUUAGUCACUCACGCAACCCACUAUAAGCGAAUCAUGAACGUAUUGCAACACCCUAUAGCGGGAAUCCCUCAUGCUUGCGCGACACGGAGGGCACCAUAGGACAGCAUCAAAGUAAAACAUACAACUCAUACCAAUCUAAAUCAUCAAUCAACCCAAAGGCAAAAGAUAUCUACUCAAAACAUCAUAGGAUGGCAACACAUCAUUGGAUCAUAAUAUGUGGCAUAGAGCACCAUGUUCCAGUAGGGAUUACAACGGGGUGCGGGAGAGUGGACCGCGUAAAAGAGAUGAGGAUGGUGAUGAUGAUGGUGAUGUUGAUGAAGACGAUCACCGCGGCGAUGAUUCCCCUCCCGAUGGCACUCCGGUGCCACCAAGAGAGAGCAGGAGAGGUUCUCCCCCUUGUGCUUCCUCCUCCAUGGCUUUCCCCCUCUGGUCCUUGGCCUUCAUGGUGAUGAUGGCCCCUCCGAGAUCCUCCUCCAUGGCCCCCGGUGAUGAUGGCCCCCUCCAGCAGGGUGCCGGAGAGGUCCUAGAUUGAUUUCUCAUGGCUACAGAGGCUUGCGGCGGGGGAACUUAUGAUCUAGGUCAAUUCCCGAAGGUUUCUGUAUUUAUAGGAAUAUUUGGCGUUGGUUUCACGUCAGGGGGGUCUCUGGGCUGUCCACGAGAUAGGGGGGCGCGCCCUAGGGGGGGCGCCCCCCCACUCUCGUGGGCAGCCCGGGACUCUUCUGGCCCAACUCUGAUGCUCCGUGGUCUUCUUUUGGUCCAUAAAAAAUCCUCAAAAAUUGGCACGUCAAUUGGACUCCGUUUUGUAUCCCUUUUCUGUAAAACACAAAAACAAGGAGAAAACAGAAAUUGGCACUGGGCUCUAGGUUAAUAGGUUAGUCCCAAAAAUCAUAUAAAAUGACAUAUAAAUGCAUAUAAAACAUCAUAGAUGAAUAAUAUAAUAGCAUGAAUACUUCAUAAAUUAUAGAUAUGUUGGAGACGUAUCAGCAUCCCCAAGCUUAAUUCCUGCUCUUCCUCGAGUAGGUAAAUGAUAAAAGAAAUAAUUUAUGAAGUGUGAAUGCUAGCAGGUGGACAAGUUUGAUUAAUGAUUAUUUCAAUCACCUUUUCUAGCAUCAAAAUGUGUCAUAAUAGUAGCUUAUCUCAUAAAACUUUUCAUGAUCAAGUAACAAUCUAUUCACAAUGUCAAGUAUGGUUCAGAAACUUCAUUGAGAACUAACAAACUAUAAUCUCAGUCAUUUAAGCAAUUGCAAUUUAUCAUAACAUCAGAAAGAGUCAAGAAUAGAGCUUUUUAGCAAGUCCACAUACUCAACUAUCAUAUAGUCUUCUACAAUUGCUAACACUCACGCAAUACUUGUGGUUAGGGAGUUUUAGCCAGACACUGAGAAAGAUAGGGGCUUAUUGUGUUGCCUCCCAACGUAUUCACCUUUAGGUGAUGUCAACUAUAAUAGCCCAUGCUAACUUACAUCCAAUUGGAUAUAUAUAUAUAUCAUGAUCUUUCAAACACAAGGAGCUUGCCAAAGGACAAAAUGAAAAAGGGAAAGGUGAGGAUCACCUUGACUCAAGCAUAAAGUAAAAACAUAAAGUAAAAGAUAGGCCCUUCGCAGAGGGAAGCAGAGGUUGUCUUGUGCGUUUAGGGUUGGAUGCAUAAAAUCUUAAUGCAAAAGAACGUCACUUUAUAUUGCCCCUUGUAUGUUGACCUUUAUUAUGCAGUCCGUCGCUUUUAUUGCUUCCACAACAAGAUCAUACAAAGCUUAUUUUCUCUGCACUAAUAAGUCAUACAUAUUUAGAUAGCAAUUUUUAUUGCCUGCAACAUGACCACUUGAAGGAUCUUACUCAAUCCAUAGGUAGGUAUGGUGGACUCUCAUGGCAAAACUGGGUUUAAGGAUAUUUGGAAACACAAGUAGUAUCUCUACUUAGUGCAAGGAAUUUGGCUAGCAUGAGGGGGAAAGGCAAGCUCAACAUACUUGGAAGGUCAAUGACAAUAUACUUUAACUGAGAUGUGAGAAAACACAAAUCAUUAUGUUGUCUUCCUUGUCCAACGUCAACUCUUUUAGCAUGUCAUACUUAAUGAGUGCUCCCUAUCAUAAAAUAUGUCCAAGAUAAUAUAUUUGUAUGUGAACCUCUCUUUCCUUAUUACUUCCUAUUAAUUGCAACGAUGACCAAAACUACGUUUACCAACUCUCAACAACUUUUAUGCCUCAUACUGUUUAUAUGUGAAGUCAUUACUAUCCAUGUUAUAAGCAUAAUAAAACAUAUAGAAAUUCAGAUUCAUGACAUUCAAUUCAUUCCCCCAUUUACUCAUAGGAUGAACAUGAAGCACAUGAGUAAAUGACAAACUACUCCAAAAGAUAUGAGUGAAAGACAUGGAGUAGUCAAAUAAUUAACUAGCCAUGGGAGGGUUCCUUUUUUAUUCAAUAUUCAGAUCCAAUGAUUUUAUUCAAACAGCAAGUAAAAUCGAAAACACGCUCCAAGCAAAACACAUAUCAUGUGACGAAUAAAAAUAUAGCUCCGAGUAAGAUGUACCGAUAGUUUUGAAGACGAAAGAGGGGAUGCCUUCCGGGGCAUCCCCAAGCUUAGGCGCUUGAGUCUUCCUUGAAUAUUACCUUGGGGUGCCUUGGGCAUCCCCAAGCUUAGGGUCUUUCCAGUCCUUACUCUACUCAUAUUGAUAUCUCGCCCAAAACUUGAAAACUUCAAUCACACAAAACUUAAUGGAACUUCGUGAGAUAGGUUAGUACGAUAAAGAGUAAACCAUGCACUUUGGUACUGUAAAAGACAAGGUUAAUAAUUGUUUUCACAUAAUGCCUACUGUACCAUAUCAUUUCUACAAUUUAUAUUGAGAAAUAUAAGCCAUAGAAACUAGAAAACAAGCAAACUAUGCAGUGAAAACAGAAUCUGUCACAAACAGAACAGUCUGUAAUGAUCUGAGCAAUAACCAUACUUCUGCUACUCCAAAAAUUAUGAAAUAAAUUGGUGGACAUGAGGAAUUUGUCUACUAAUAUUCUGCAAAAAGAAUAAACUCAAAGGCACACUUCUGUAAAAAAUGACAGCUAAUCUCGUGAGCGCAAAGUUUCUAUUUUUACAGCAAGAUCACAUUAACUCUCACCCAAGUCUUCCCAAAGGUCUUACUUGGCACUUUAUUGAAACAAAAGCUAUAAAACAUGAUUACUACAGUAUCUUAAUCAUGUAGACACACAAAAACAGUCAGGAUAAAUAUUGGGUUGUCUCCCAACAAGCGCUUUUAUUUAAUGCCUUUUAGCUAGGCAUGAUGAUUUCAAUGAUGCUCGCAUAAAAGAAAAGAGUUGAAACACAAAGAGAGCAUCAUGAAGAAUAUGACUAGCACAUUUAAAUCUAACUCACUUCCUAUGCCUAGGGAUUUUGUGAGCACACAACUUAUGGGAACAAGAAUCAACUAGCAUAGGAAGGCAAAACAAGUUUAACUUCAAAGCUUAAAGCACAUAGAGAGGAAACUUGAUAUCAUUGCAACUCCUACAAAUAUAUAUUCCCCCCUCAUAAUAGUUUUCAGUAUCAUCAUGGAUAACAACCUUUUUUCUCAUACUAAAUUGGAACCUCUUCCGAAAUAGUGGAAUACUAACUAAAGUUGACACUCUUCCAAAUCCACUUUCAUGAAUAUCGUACAAAGAUUCAACACCCUCCAAGAUAGUGGGAUCACUAAUUCCUAAAGUUGACACUCUUCCAAACCCACUUUAAAUUAUAGUACUAUUCAUACUCCAAAAGAUAUAAGUGAAGUUCCUGGAGCAUUCUAUAAUUAAUAUAGACUAGCCAAUAUCCAAGCUCAAAAUAUAUAAGUGAAGCGCACGAAGCAUUCUAUAAAACCAUACUCAAACGAUAUAAGUGAAGCACAAAGAGCAAUUAUCUAAGAUCAUACUUAAAAGAUAUAAGUGAAGCUAAUGAAGUAUAAAUCAAUGAAGAGCUAUCUCAUAAUAUCAUGAUUCUUGAAGAAAAAUAAAAACACAAAGGACACGAAUCGUGUGAACAAAGCAAAAACCGAGGUAUACCGAUAUUUGUUGAGGAAGAAAGAUGGGAUGCCAACCGGGGCAUCCCCAAGCUUAGAUGCUUGAGUAUCCUUUAAAAUAUUUACUUGGGGUGCCUUGGGAAUCCCCAAGCUUGAACUCUUGUCUCUCUUUAUUCUUCUCACAUCAGUAACUCCUCGUUCUUCAAACACUUCAUUCACAAAAACUUAAAAAAAACUUGUGAGAUCCGUUAGUGUAAUAAAGCAAACUACCACUUUAAGGUACUGUAAUUAACAAUUUCUUUAUUUUUAUUGGUGUUAAACCUACUGUAUUCCAACUUCUCUAUGGUUCAUACCCUUACAUACUAGCCAUAGAUGCAUCAGAAUAAGCAAACAAUACACGAAAAACAGAAUCUGUCAAGAACAGGACAGUCUGUAGUAAUCUGGAAGUUCAGUAAACUUCUGUAACUCCAAAAAUUAUGAAAUAAAAUUGAAAAUUUGAAAUAUUUGUACAGAAGUAAUGUGCAAAAAGUUUCAUACCCAUUUGUCUUUCCAGUAAAAAAUGUAAAUUCAUGCACUACAGCCAAAGUUUCUGUUUUUGUUCUGCAUAUAGUAAGCAAGCAAUCUUAUCAUACGAAAACCAAAGCUUGGCACACUAUUUUUAUAUUAAAAAGGAUAUAUACAAGGGUAUAAUUAUUUACAGAGAAACUUUCAUGAAAAAUUCUACAUUUUUUCCGUGAGCAUGAACUCAAGUGCUCAAGGUCGACCCUCACCUCUUCAAUGCAUAACUUUCCAAUCACUUCUCUUUUUGAAAAACAUUUUUAGGCAUGACAGGCAAGUAAUUCUUUUUUUGUAUUUUCAUUCUUUUUAAUUUUUUUGUAUGUUUCAUCCACAACUAAACAUAAACAAAAAGGGAAAAUAAAAUCUACUUAGUGAAGAAAGCAAACAAGCACACACGAGAAUAUCAACCCCACGCUAUCACUCCCCGGCAACGGCGCCAGAAAAGAGCUUGAUAAUCCCCAAGUGCAGGGAAUCAUCGUAGCAAUUCCCAAAGGUGGAAGAGAUAAAUAUGGAGUGUAGAAACCACAAAGAGCUAAAGGUAAGAUCAAUAUUCUCUCAAGCCCUAUCUGCCACUGAUACGACUCUACAUGCACCGAACGUUUGCUUCCAACUAGCAACGAGAAAUGAAACUAUGUUGUGGGUAUAUAGAGGAUAACUUUGUAUGAUAUCGGAGAGCUAAAACAUAAAAGUAGGCGCUGUUGUCAUAAAGUUAGUAAAUAAUACUAAAUAUUAUAAAUAGCGAGUGUGGAAUAAUGGUGGAUCGGUGUGCGGAAUUGUCCUAGGCAAUUGUUAACAAGACCGAUAAUCACUAUUGCAGUUUCAUAUGAGGGAGAGGCAUAAGCUAACAUACUUUCUCUUCUUGGAUCAUAUGCACUUAUGAUUGGAACUCUAGCAAGCAUCCGCAACUACUAAAGAUCAUUAAGGUAAAACCCAACCAUAGCAUUAAAGCAUCAAGUCCUCUUUAUUCCCAUACGCAACAACCUACUUACUCGGUUUGUGUUUCAGUCACUCACGCAACCCACUAUAAGCGAAUCAUGAACGUAUUGCAACACCCUACAGCGGGAAUCCCUCAUGCUUGCGCGAUACGGAGGGCACCAUAGGACAACAUCAAAGUAAAACAUACAACUCAUACCAAUCUAAAUCAUCAAUCAACCCAAAGACAAAAGAUAUCUACUCAAAACAUCAUAGGAUGGCAACACAUCAUUGGAUCAUAAUAUGUGGCAUAAAGCACCAUGUUCAAGUAGGGAUUACAGCGGGGUGUGGGAGAGUGGACCGCGUAAAAGAGAUGAGGAUGGUGAUGACGAUGGUGAUGUUGAUGAAGACGAUCACCGCGGCGAUGAUUCCCCUCCCGAUGGCACUCUGGUGCCACCAAGAGAGAGGAGGAGAGGUUCUCCCCCUUGUGCUUCCUCCUCCAUGGCUUUCCCCCUAUGGUCCUUGGCCUUCAUGGUGAUGAUGGCCCCUCCGAGAUCCUCCUCCAUGGCCUCCGGUGAUGAUGGCCCCCUCCGGUAGGGUGCCGGAGAGGGCCUGGAUUGAUUUCUCAUGGCUACAGAGGCUUGCGGCGGCGGAACUUCUGAUCUAGGUCAAUUCCCGAAGGUUUCUGUAUUUAUAGGAAUAUUUGGCGUUGGUUUCACGUCAGGGGGGUCUCCGGGCUGUCCACGAGAUAGGGGGCGCGCCCCCACUCUCGUGGGCAGCCCGGGACUCUUCUAACCCAACUCCGAUGCUCCGUGGUCUUCUUUUGGUCCAUAAAAAAUCCUCAAAAAUUGGCACGCCAAUUGGACUCCGUUUGGUAUCCCUUUUCUGUAAAACACAAAAACAAGGAGAAAAAAGAAACUGGCACUGGGCUCUAGGUUAAUAGGUUAGUCCCAAAAAUCAUAUUAAAUGACAUAUAAAUGCAUAUAAAACAUCAUAGAUGAAUAAUAUAAUAGCAUGAAUACUUCAUAAAUUAUAGAUUGGAGACGUAUCACCUAUCCUUAGCUGAUUUGGCUGCCUCACAUUCGUUGAGUACUCGUCUGAGAAAUUACCAACGACUUACUUCUUGUUGCAUUGCUUCAAGAGAUCUUGGAUGAUAGGUCCAUAGUCCGAGAUUUGCACACCACUCGGUGGUGGAUGGUUGACUUGAUCAGUAUAACCAGGCCAUCGGUUGCAUUGGUCUUGCAUGGUACCUCCAUUGGUUACCAAGAGAGCCUUGGAUGUGGCGUUAUGUGACUUCCAUUAUGUUGUUGUAGUACUCUACAAUUCUACCCGAGAGUCGGUCCUCCGAUUGAUCUGUUCCAAUUGAUGCAUCAACUGACAUGUUUGUCCAAGCAUUACACAAUGCAAUAUAUUAAUCUUGGCAAUACUUGUGAGUCCUAGAUAUUGAUGGUGCCCUCGCGCUUGUUGUGACUCCAUAGAACUAUCAACAACUUCUGGAUCCUCCUUGGCGUCGGCCUCCACUUUUGGCUCAUAAUCCUCCUCGGGGUCUUCUUGUUGAUCAGACACCGAGUUAUAGUUGAGAUCUUCAAGCCCAAGCAUAUGUGACUCCUCCAAAGAUGAACAAAGUUUGUUUGUGUUCUUCUCCGCACUAUGACAACAAGCACAUCACCCUAGGGCCGCAAGCAAUCACCAUAAAAUGCACCGAUCGAUAUGCAAAUACAUUUAUUUACCUUGAUGGCAUUUGUUUGACCACUUGGUGGCCACGACCCUUGGUGAUGGCAGUGGCGGCCGGACGAGAAACCGUAAGGGUGGCCGAAGAUGUGGUGCGAGGCACCAGAGGCAUCUUAUUCUUAUUAUCCUCGCCAUAUCCUCGGUGAGCGCUGACGCGGGUCUCAUCGACCUCCUUGCCCGCUUGUCAGAGGCUGGAGCAGUGGGAGGGCUGCCUCACGUCUUCAAAGAAGCAGUGGUCUUUCCACCGACCUUGCUACCGGCGAUGCUUGCCUGUGUGGUGGCAUGUGUGGGUUUUAAGUGCCUAGCUUCUUCCUUGUUGUGGGCAGCGGCACAGGGCUCAUUUCCUGAUGCGUCGCGCUGGCGGUGGUGGGGGUCUUACAUGUCCAUCAUUUUGUCCUCGGGUAGGUAGCCGUGUCCGGCCUUCUUGCCGAUGGCGUUUGCACUGCACUCGCAGGUCUUCCUCACAUUCGUCUGCAACUUGACAUGAAAAUAUUUCUGCCACAUGCCAAAGUGGGACUCGACAUAGAGAAAAGCCUCACACAAGGUGAUGAAGCAUGCAAUGUGAAAGAUAGCAAUGAGGGAAGGUAGUGGACUUUGAAGUAGUAAAAAUGCAGCAAACCCUAGAAGGACAGAUUUAUCAGAAAAGCCCAAUCCGUGAAUCAAAAAAGGGAUGAAAUUGACACUCUUAUGCGGAUCAGGCUAUGGGUACACCUCUUCUCGGGCGUCGCCAUUCUCGGUCACGAUGAUGGGAGAGCACGCGAGGACCACGAUAGCUGCGGAAGAUACCCAUCUGCGGCAAGGCGGUCCAACUGGCCACGCUAGUGGAGGGCAUCCAUUUUCCCUUUGUCUUGGAGGUGACCUUGGCUACAGCAGUGACAAUCUCCUUUCCAGUGUUGACCAUCUUUCCAUCCAUGGUGAGCUUGUAGCACAUGGCGGCACGGUGGUGAUGUUGGGUUGUGCUAGAGCGAUGGUGCUAUGGCACAGUGAAGUAGCAGGACAAUGACAUGGCGCAAAAGCGGUGGAGCUGUUGUUGUGCCAGGAAGAAGAUGAGAACAAGGGAAACAAUAGCAUGAGCUCCCCCUCGCUCCAUCCAUUCCCUUAUAUACGAGGGUGGAAAUGUGAAAUGGCGACAUGCAAUCAACGCCACCCAGUGGUAAAUCUCUUCAUACCCCCGCGAUGGCGCUAAGUGCACGUGGGGAUUGAGGUGACUCUGUUAAGUGCGUGCGAGAAUCAGGCAUGCUUCCUCUGUUGAUGCAUGGGACGUGGCGUGGGUGGGACCUAUACCCACUCAUGCACGUCACAUUGACCGCUAGGUCAAGUCUGACACAUGGUCCGGUGGGACCAACUGAUGAGACAUGUCUGCUCUAACAGGACUGUACAGUUUGAACCAUAAAGACGCUAUGCGGGAAUUCAACCCAUGAGGAGCAGACUGCGCGGGAAACAUUUUCGGCACAGGUAGGCUAUCUUCAUCAAUGGCUUAAGACCGAGGUUAAUUACGCUACCCCAAAGGCGGUCUGGCAGCUUGAGACCUAUUACGUGAAGAUGUUGUUAAUUAGGGAGGCUUGGAAGAACAAGUUUCAACCUCGACGACCUAAAGACAAUGUGCAACUUGGUGUUGGCAAGCUUGAACACCAAAUUAGGGCUACUGAUGGUGUCACGGCCCAGGGGUACCUCACCAUGUCAGUUCUCGCCCUGGUGGAGCCCUAGGUCGAUUUCAUCCUGGCUCACUUUGGGCAGCCCAUGACAUUUAGAUGGAAGACUCCGGACGACUUAAUGUGCAAGACAAGUGUACUUGAACUGAGGAGGAGUCUACCUCCACCGAUCUAGUCGACUAGGAUCUGUAAGCCUAGGACCCCUGGUAUGUUGUAUAAGCCGGGGUCGGGUUCGUCGAGAGAUCAUCAGGUAGGUUCCCCUUUGGUAUAUCAUAUCUAAAGCUAAUUUGAUUGAUUUACAACGAUCCUUUUUUGCAUGAGUAUAGGGAUUCAUUUAACCAUGGGGCUCGUAGCUUUGCCAAGGUGGCCACGCGAUAUUGGUUCGAUAUCAUGUAUGGCCACUCUAGCCAGCAUCUUUGCUUGUAUCCUGAACAAUCCUAGAUCUAUAAAGAAAAUCAUGAGUGUAGAAUAAUCCCACACCUGGCAGAUCAAGAUUGGUCGAACAUGAUCCUUAUUUAUAGGAGACAUCUAUUUCUCAAUUGACUAAAAUUUAACGCAAAACUGAUUUAUAAAUUUCUGUAUGAAUCUAAGCAAAAUUUACCAUGUUGUAAAAAAUGUGUUCAUCUAGUGCAAAACAGAUAUAGUUUUAACUAAGGCUCCACUGAAUUUACAAGUUUAUUCAUACUGAUUUAAUAGUACUGAGAGUGAUAUAAUAGUUCAUUCAGGCGGAAAUCCAAUUUGGCUCUCGGGUGCACAUGCUCUUGCGCGCGAAAAUAAUUUGGAAAUGUCAAAACAAAUCCAACAAAAAAUUUAUGUGUUCAUAGUCACAUACAAAUGCUACUUACAAAAUCUUAGGCAAAAACUUUAAGCACAGUGAAUAAAAUAAAAUUAAAUACCAAAUAUUAGCAACAAAUGUCACCUAAAAUUCGUUUUUUUUCACCGGCGAAACACUGCCGCUCCGUUCCACAUGAUAAUUGUCAAGGAUGACACUAACACGAACAUCUUCAAAAAGAACCUCAUAUUUUUUUAACGUUUACAUUUUUUUUAUGGUUACUGUUCAUGCAGGAGGAUGUGCUCCCAGGAGCCAAAACGCCUCCCCCGUUGUUCAGGUUAGUUAAGAUAUGCAGUAUUACUCUCAGAGUUGUUGGUUUGAUGGUUAUGUCUAUUGAGCGCUAAGAAAUUAUACGACAAUUGAGAAUUAGGAAAACCACUUUUCAUAUCACAAAAACUUAAAUCGAGAUUUCUAUAAGUUUAUUGAGUUGUGUAGUCCAGCCAAAAUCAGUCUGUAUAAUUUAUUAUAAUUUUCCAUAUCUUAGUAGCAGAAGGUUUUGGCACAUGAAAGUACAUUGUAUCCAUCAUUUCCGUAGCAUUCACCAUUCGCAACAGCACCAUAUGGAACGGUCGCAAUGACUUUUUUCAAAGUUGUAACCACGCCACUCACAGCUAAGCUUGCACAUAGCAA
RNAcentral lists this long non-coding RNA (25100 nucleotides) under Triticum aestivum (bread wheat). RNAcentral describes it as "long non-coding RNA (TAES_LNC026659)". Lineage: Eukaryota; Viridiplantae; Streptophyta; Magnoliopsida; Poales; Poaceae. The record is from RNAcentral.